AGCACUUGCAUGUUUUAACAUAUGGACACCUAUAGACAGGUUCAAAAAAUCCUCUUGCAACCCAGAACUCAUUGUUCAGUAUGAGUCUUGAUACAUGUAAGAAGGGAUUUG
Molecule: small nucleolar RNA, 111 nt
Organism: Pongo abelii (Sumatran orangutan)
Lineage: Eukaryota; Metazoa; Chordata; Mammalia; Primates; Hominidae
Source: Ensembl